Molecule: ribosomal RNA, 253 nt
Filed under: uncultured bacterium
Lineage: Bacteria
Description: partial 16S ribosomal RNA
Rfam family: Bacterial small subunit ribosomal RNA
Source: RNAcentral
UACGUAGGGGGCAAGCGUUGUCCGGAUUCAUUGGGCGUAAAGAGCGUGUAGGCGGCCUUUUAAGUCCUGCGUGAAAUCCUGCGGCUCAACCGCAGACGGUCGUGGGAAACUGGAAGGCUAGAGUCUGGAAGAGGAGAGUGGAAUUCCUGGUGUAGCGAUGAAAUGCGCAGAUAUCAGGAAGAACACCUAUGGCGAAGGCAGCUCUCUGGGACGGUACUGACGCUGAGACGCGAAAGCGUGGGGAGCGAACAGG